RNAcentral lists this transfer RNA (65 nucleotides) under Dipodomys ordii (Ord's kangaroo rat). It matches the Rfam family "tRNA". Rfam says of the family: Transfer RNA (tRNA) molecules are approximately 80 nucleotides in length. The record is from Rfam by way of RNAcentral. Lineage: Eukaryota; Metazoa; Chordata; Mammalia; Rodentia; Heteromyidae.
GGUGGCUCAGUGGUAGAGUGCCUGCCUAGCAUGCAUGAAGACCUGGGUUCAAUUCCUCAGCACCA